Molecule: ribosomal RNA, 391 nt
Filed under: uncultured bacterium
Lineage: Bacteria
Description: bacterial SSU rRNA
Rfam family: Bacterial small subunit ribosomal RNA
Source: RNAcentral
ACGGGUGAGUAACGCGUAUCCAACCUGCCCCGUCUACUUGGGAAAUAACCUUGCGAAAGUAAGACUAAUGCCCAAUGACAUUUAUAGAAGGCAUCUGAAAUGAAUUAAAGAUUUAUCGGUGAUGGAUGGGGAUGCGUCUGAUUAGCUUGUUGGCGGGUAACGGCCCACCAAGGCGACGAUCAGGUAGGGUUCUGAGAGGAACGGUCCCCCACAUUGGAACUGAGACACGGUACCAAACUCCUACGGGAGGCAGCAGUGAGGAAUAUUGCACAAUGGGGGAAACCCUGAUGCAGCGACGCCGCGUGAAGGAAGAAGUAUCUCGGUAUGUAAACUUCUAUCAGCAGGGAAGAUAAUGACGGUACCUGACUAAGAAGCCCCGGCUAACUACGUG